CCCAGAGGAGAGAGCCGCGUUGCUAGGGGCAACGGGGCCGGUACAUCGCACUUAGAGUGCGGUGACGUCAUCAGGAGGCGCCCGGAGUUUCCCGCGUGGCUAAAAGGCCCCCAAUCAGGGCUGCCUUUCCAACUGCCUGAGUCGCCGUCCCCGAGUCAUAAUUUCUUUCCCCUUUUAUACAUAAAGGGCCACAAGAGUUAACAUUGUUGUAGUCCCCCUACAGCCCCCAGAAGGCCAGGUUUGGGGGGAUUCUGGGAGUCAUAGUCCCAGACAAAGGGGUCUGGCUCCUUUUUGGACAGAGCUGGGUUGGAGCGGGAUGGAAAGAAAGAGUUACUUUUUAAAGGGGGGACUAUAAAUCCCAGAAUGCAGCUCCUGGAGGUUCUGGGAAAUGUAGCCCCUCCAAAGUAACUUUUCCAAGCUCCAAGGAAAGGAUGUCAGCAGCGGAGAAGGAGGAGGAGAGGGAAACCACGUGGGAAGCCAUUCCCAAGCGCUGCUUCAGUGUCUGCAAGGAUGCGUCCGGACGAGGGAGCUGCAGAAAGCGCGGCCCAAAGGCACCGUUUCUGCGAAACCCAGGCGUCCGGAGAGCAAGGCCUUGCAGCCAGAGGACAAAAGCGGUUCAAAGGAGGCGUCCAGAAAAAAAAAGCAGCAAGUUUGCAGAAAGGGGGGGAAGAAGAAGCAGCAGGAAGAUGACAAUUUGGCAGAAGCGGACGGAGGCUUUUCCUGUUGGUCAAGGUUUUCAGAGGGGUCAGCGUGGCCGAAUUCUCUUCCCGGCUGACCCCCGGCCAAAGGAAAGGGACGCUGAAGGACUCUGAGUGAGAGAAGAUCCAGCGGUGAGUUUUUGGGGGUCUUCCAGUCCAUCUGAGUUGAUAAUAAAGGG
Long non-coding RNA from Sceloporus undulatus (fence lizard), 877 nucleotides. RefSeq lists it as uncharacterized. Lineage: Eukaryota; Metazoa; Chordata; Lepidosauria; Squamata; Phrynosomatidae. The transcript has 3 exons. The record is from RefSeq and is a predicted model, not a curated record.